GAUGAGCGCUAGCGACAGGCUUAACACAUGCAAGUCGAGGGGCGAGCGAGGGCGUAGCAAUACGCCUGUCGGCGACCGGCGCACUGGUGAGUAACACGUAUGCGACCUGCCCCCUACAGGGGUAUAACCCGUAGAAAUGCGGACUAAUCCCCCAUAGUCCCGCGGGCUGCAUGGCCUGCGGGGGAAAGGUCAGCCGGUAGGGGAUGGGCAUGCGGCGCAUUAGCUAGUUGGCGGGGCAACGGCCCACCAAGGCGACGAUGCGUAGGGGUUCUGAGAGGAAGGUCCCCCACACUGGUACUGAGACACGGACCAGACUCCUACGGGAGGCAGCAGUGAGGAAUAUUGGUCAAUGGGGCGCAGGCCUGAACCAGCCAAGUCGCGUGAGGGAGGAACGGUCCUACGGAUUGUAAAACCUCUUUUGUCGGGAGUAACGUGCGGGAUGCGUCCCGUAUUGAGAGUACCCGAAGAAAAAGCAUCGGCUAAACUCCGUGCCAGCCGCCGCAGUAG
This 507-nucleotide ribosomal RNA is filed under the name uncultured bacterium. Its description in RNAcentral is "bacterial SSU rRNA". It matches the Rfam family "Bacterial small subunit ribosomal RNA", at positions 28 to 523 of the family's 1533-position model. The record is from RNAcentral.